UGGGGAAUAUUGCACAAUGGGGGAAACCCUGAUGCAGCGACGCCGCGUGAGUGAAGAAGUAUUUCGGUAUGUAAAGCUCUAUCAGCAGGGAAGAAAAUGACGGUACCUGACCAAGAAGCCCCGGCUAACUACGUGCCAGCAGCCGCGGUAAUACGUAGGGGGCAAGCGUUAUCCGGAUUUACUGGGUGUAAAGGGAGCGUAGACGGCGAUGCAAGUCAGAAGUGAAAGCCCGCGGCUCAACUGCGGGACUGCUUUUGAAACUGUAUGGCUGGAGUGCAGGAGAGGUAAGCGGAAUUCCUGGUGUAGCGGUGAAAUGCGUAGAUAUCAGGAGGAACACCAGUGGCGAAGGCGGCUUACUGGACUGUAACUGACGUUGAGGCUCGAAAGCGUGGGGAGCAAACAGGAUUAGAUACCC
RNAcentral lists this ribosomal RNA (415 nucleotides) under uncultured bacterium. Its description in RNAcentral is "bacterial SSU rRNA". It matches the Rfam family "Bacterial small subunit ribosomal RNA", at positions 355 to 787 of the family's 1533-position model. The record is from RNAcentral.